This 312-nucleotide long non-coding RNA is filed under the name Mus spicilegus (steppe mouse). RNAcentral describes it as "lncRNA (ENSMSIG00000028837.1)". Lineage: Eukaryota; Metazoa; Chordata; Mammalia; Rodentia; Muridae. The record is from RNAcentral.
GUGCAGUGGAAGGAGUGUGGGCGCUGUUGUUUAGGGGUGAAAUAGACAUCUCCAGAGGGGAAGGAACUCCCUAUCUGUAUUCUAAAGCUACUGGAAUGCAUUUGGUGACACAGCGACAGUGACUGUGCCAGAACGGAAGUGGUGGUGGGCUUGGCACAGCAUCUGCAUCGUCAGCACAGCACACAAAUGGCUCAGAGAAGGGACGGACAUCUUGGUUCUGGAGUUGCAGUAGUUUUGGACCAAGGUCAAUUUCAGGAAACUGAAGCCAUGUAAAUCGGGAUGUCAGGAAUUGGGGACUGUUGCAAUGUAUUU